UGAACGCUGGCGGCAGGCUUAACACAUGCAAGUCGAACGGUAACAUAAAGAAGCUUGCUUCUUUGAUGACGAGUGGCGGACGGGUGAGUAAUGCUUGGGAAUCUAGCUUAUGGAGGGGGAUAACUACGGGAAACUGUAGCUAAUACCGCGUAAUAUCGAAAGAUUAAAGUGUGGGACCUUCGGGCCACAUGCCAUAGGAUGAGCCCAAGUGGGAUUAGGUAGUUGGUGAGGUAAAGGCUCACCAAGCCGACGAUCUCUAGCUGGUCUGAGAGGAUGACCAGCCACACUGGGACUGAGACACGGCCCAGACUCCUACGGGAGGCAGCAGUGGGGAAUAUUGCGCAAUGGGGGCAACCCUGACGCAGCCAUGCCGCGUGAAUGAAGAAGGCCUUCGGGUUGUAAAGUUCUUUCGGUAGCGAGGAAGGCAUUUAGUUUAAUAGACUAGAUGAUUGACGUUAACUACAGAAGAAGCACCGGCUAACUCC
This 485-nucleotide ribosomal RNA is filed under the name uncultured bacterium. RNAcentral describes it as "bacterial SSU rRNA". It matches the Rfam family "Bacterial small subunit ribosomal RNA", at positions 30 to 504 of the family's 1533-position model. The record is from RNAcentral.